RNAcentral lists this ribosomal RNA (497 nucleotides) under uncultured bacterium. RNAcentral's name for it is "partial 16S ribosomal RNA". It matches the Rfam family "Bacterial small subunit ribosomal RNA", at positions 28 to 507 of the family's 1533-position model. The record is from RNAcentral.
GAUGAACGCUGGCGGCGUGCCUAAUACAUGCAAGUCGAGCGAACGGACGAGAAGCUUGCUUCUCUGAUGUUAGCGGCGGACGGGUGAGUAACACGUGGAUAACCUACCUAUAAGACUGGGAUAACUUCGGGAAACCGGAGCUAAUACCGGAUAAUAUUUUGAACCGCAUGGUUCAAAAGUUAAAGACGGUCUUUCUGUCACUUAUAGAUGGAUCCGCGCUGCAUUAGCUAGUUGGUAAGGUAACGGCUUACCAAGGCAACGAUGCAUAGCCGACCUGAGAGGGUGAUCGGCCACACUGGAACUGAGACACGGACCAGACUCCUACGGGAGGCAGCAGUAGGGAAUCUUCCGCAAUGGGCGAAAGCCUGACGGAGCAAAGCCGCGUGAGUGAUGAAGGUCUUCGGAUCGUAAAACUCUGUUAUUAGGGAAGAACAUAUGUGUAAGUAACUGUGCACAUCUUGACGGUACCUAAUCAGAAAGCCACGGCUAACUACGUG